Molecule: ribosomal RNA, 407 nt
Filed under: uncultured bacterium
Lineage: Bacteria
Description: partial 16S ribosomal RNA
Rfam family: Bacterial small subunit ribosomal RNA
Source: RNAcentral
AUUGAACGCUAGCGGGAUGCCUUACACAUGCAAGUCGAACGGAGUGGCGACCGGGUGAGUAAUGUAUCGGAACGUGCCCAGUGGCGGGGGAUAACUACGCGAAAGCGUAGCUAAUACCGCAUACUAUUAGAGCAGCAGAUAUCGGAUUAGCUAGUUGGUGGGGUAACGGCUCACCAAGGCGACGAUCCUUAGCUGUUUUGAGAGGACGACCAGCCACACUGGAACUGAGACACGGCACAGACUCCUACGUGAGGUAGCAGUGGGGAAUUUUGGACAAGGGGCGAAACCCUGAUCCAGCCAUCCCGCGUGUGAGAUGAAGGCCUGCGGGUUGUAAAGCACUUUUGGCAGGAAGGCGGUACCUGCAGAAUAAGCACCGGCUAAAUACGUGCCAGCAGCCGCGGUAAUUC